UCUGGCUCUCUCGUUCCUCUCUCUCCGUCUCCCUCGCGCUUCGCUGGCUCGAAGAACAACUGCUCCCCAUCCAAGAACAGUGCUCAUCCAAAUCCAGUGCACCCAGAGCGGCUCCCCGGAGGAGCACAUCAUGGUCAGCUCAUGCAGUGCGCGGCUAGCUCCAGGAUCCUUGCUCUAUCGUGUCCCAAGAUGCUGACGACGCCAUCGCAGCCGUCGGCUACUACGCUCCCGCUGCCGAUCCGGAUGGCGCGAGCCGAGCUCGACGGUGAGGCCAGGGCAGCGAGCUCAUCGGCGGCGGGUUUUCCCAGGGUCCCGCGCAGCCCUUCUACGACUCUACCUGAAUGGUAGGGGCAGACGGCGAAUCCGUACCAAUUUGGUCGCCGGGAAGGAGAUUUGGUCUCCUCCGGUGCGCCGCGAGAGCAGCCGGACUGCUCGCAGUAGGAGUCGCGGCCGAGUCCAAGCCAUCAGCGAGGGGUACCGGACUUGGAUCAGCCGCGCGGGAGCACCUAUUCUUCAUCCAGUGGAGAGUGAGGGAGAAGGAGAGAGACAGAGCUGAACGGGACAGAGAGAGCUGCACAAGAGAGCCAGACCUGGGAUCGAUUCAAAGGAAUAAUCUUCCAUAUCCUGUAUAUCUCAAUCCAUUACCGAUAGCACUUUUUUAAAUUUUAGCAGUGAGUGCUAUAGCAGAUUGGUGCAGGAAGGAAUCCCCUGCAUUUGAGCAAGAGAGGUGUAUUUUAGCGACCAUAAAACCUUUUUAGUAUUGGCGAUGGAAUUGGUAAUCUGUCGGAGCACCUCUUAUUACCAAAACAACCUAUUACCAACCUAUUACCAAAAGAACAGUUUUUGAUAUUGAAAAGAGAAAUGAGUAAUCUGCUGGACAUGCUCUAAGGUCAGAGGUAGAAUUGUCCUUUCACGUGGCAUGGAGAAAGAAAAACAGAAA
Molecule: long non-coding RNA, 940 nt
Filed under: Panicum hallii
Lineage: Eukaryota; Viridiplantae; Streptophyta; Magnoliopsida; Poales; Poaceae
Description: long non-coding RNA (PHAL_LNC000337)
Source: RNAcentral